Molecule: transfer RNA, 71 nt
Organism: Thelohanellus kitauei
Lineage: Eukaryota; Metazoa; Cnidaria; Myxozoa; Bivalvulida; Myxobolidae
Rfam family: tRNA
About the family: Transfer RNA (tRNA) molecules are approximately 80 nucleotides in length. Their secondary structure includes four short double-helical elements and three loops (D, anti-codon, and T loops).
Source: Rfam
GCGUUGGUGGUUCAGUGGUAGAAUGUUAGCUUGCCAUGCUAAUGACCUGGGUUCGAUUCCCAGCCAUCGCA